AUUGAACGCUGGCGGCAUGCCUUACACAUGCAAGUCGAACGGCAGCACGGGAGCAAUCCUGGUGGCGAGUGGCGAACGGGUGAGUAAUAUAUCGGAACGUGCCCAGUCGUGGGGGAUAACGUAGCGAAAGCCACGCUAAUACCGCAUACGAUCUAUGGAUGAAAGCGGGGGAUCGCAAGACCUCGCGCGAUUGGAGCGGCCGAUAUCAGAUUAGGUAGUUGGUGAGGUAAAGGCUCACCAAGCCGACGAUCUGUAGCUGGUCUGAGAGGACGACCAGCCAAACUGGGAAUGGGACACGGCCCAGACUCCGACGGGAGGCAGCAGUGGGGAAUUUUGGACAAUGGGGGCAAGCCUGAUCCAGCAAUGCCGCGGGCAGGAUGAAGGCCUUCGGGUUGUAAACUGCUUUUGUACGGAACGAAACGGCGAGCUCUAAUACAGUUUGCUAAUGACGGUACCGUAAGAAUAAGCACCGGCUAACUACGUGCCAGCAGCCGCCGUAA
RNAcentral lists this ribosomal RNA (500 nucleotides) under uncultured bacterium. RNAcentral's name for it is "partial 16S ribosomal RNA". It matches the Rfam family "Bacterial small subunit ribosomal RNA", at positions 29 to 523 of the family's 1533-position model. The record is from RNAcentral.